This 794-nucleotide ribosomal RNA is filed under the name bacterium SCGC AAA074-E07. RNAcentral's name for it is "bacterial SSU rRNA". It matches the Rfam family "Bacterial small subunit ribosomal RNA", at positions 70 to 863 of the family's 1533-position model. The record is from RNAcentral. RNAcentral also lists the same sequence under 1 other name.
CAUAGAUUGCUUGCAAUCUGAUGACGAGUGGCGCACGGGUGCGUAACGCGUAUGCAAUCUACCUUUUACAGGAGAAUAGCCCAGAGAAAUUUGGAAUAAUGCUCCAUAAUAUCAUUUAUCAGCAUUGGUUUAUGAUUAAAGCUCCGGCGGUAAAAGAUGAGCAUGCGUUCUAUUAGCUAGUAGGUGAGGUAACGGCUCACCUAGGCUACGAUAGAUAGGGGCCCUGAGAGGGGGAUCCCCCACACUGGUACUGAGACACGGACCAGACUCCUACGGGAGGCAGCAGUGAGGAAUAUUGGACAAUGGAGGAAACUCUGAUCCAGCCAUGCCGCGUGCAGGAUGACUGCCCUAUGGGUUGUAAACUGCUUUUAUAUAGGAAGAAACACUCCCACGUGUGGGGGCUUGACGGUACUAUAUGAAUAAGGAUCGGCUAACUCCGUGCCAGCAGCCGCGGUAAUACGGAGGAUCCAAGCGUUAUCCGGAAUCAUUGGGUUUAAAGGGUCCGCAGGCGGCCUGUUAAGUCAGAGGUGAAAUCCUACAGCUCAACUGUAGAACUGCCUUUGAUACUGAUAGGCUUGAGUUAUUGUGAAGUGGUUAGAAUGUGUGGUGUAGCGGUGAAAUGCUUAGAUAUCACACAGAAUACCCAUUGCGAAGGCAGAUCACUAACAAUAUACUGACGCUCAUGGACGAAAGCGUGGGGAGCGAACGGGAUUAGAUACCCCGGUAGUCCACGCCGUAAACGAUGGAUACUAACUGUUCGACCUUCGGGUUGAGUGGUCAAGCGAAAGUGAUAA